This 292-nucleotide ribosomal RNA is filed under the name uncultured bacterium. RNAcentral's name for it is "partial 16S ribosomal RNA". It matches the Rfam family "Bacterial small subunit ribosomal RNA", at positions 505 to 796 of the family's 1533-position model. The record is from RNAcentral.
GUGCCAGCCGCCGCGGUAAUACGGAGGGUGCGAGCGUUGUUCGGAAUUACUGGGCGUAAAGCGCGUGUAGGCGGCCUGCUAAGUCUGAUGUGAAAGCCCGGGGCUCACCCCCGGAAGUGCAUUGGAAACUGGUAGGCUCGAGUCCCGGAGAGGAGGGUGGAAUUCCUGGUGUAGCGGUGAAAUGCGUAGAUAUCAGGAGGAACACCGGUGGCGAAGGCGGCCCUCUGGACGGUGACUGACGCUGAGACGCGAAAGCGUGGGGAGCAAACAGGAUUAGAUACCCUGGUAGUCC